GCCCUUGUAGAUCAGUGGUAGAUCACCCACCGCUUUUGUCAGACUUUUAUAGGAUGUUGGUGGGAGGCGGGGGUUCGAAUCCCCUCGAGGACA
Non-coding RNA from Mycena epipterygia, 93 nucleotides. NCBI's taxonomy places the organism in Eukaryota, Fungi, Basidiomycota, Agaricomycetes, Agaricales, Mycenaceae. The record is from the annotation of a GenBank genome assembly.